AGUUCGGACUGCAGUCUGCAACUCGACUGCACGAAGCUGGAAUCGCUAGUAAUCGCGGAUCAGCACGCCGCGGUGAAUACGUUCCCGGGCCUUGUACACACCGCCCGUCACACCAUGGAAGUCUGCAAUGCCCGAAGCCGGUGGCCUAACCACUUAUGUGGAAGGAGCCGUCUAAGGCAGGGCAGAUGACUGGGGUGAAGUCGUAACAAGGUAAC
RNAcentral lists this ribosomal RNA (215 nucleotides) under uncultured bacterium. RNAcentral's name for it is "partial 16S ribosomal RNA". It matches the Rfam family "Bacterial small subunit ribosomal RNA", at positions 1290 to 1500 of the family's 1533-position model. The record is from RNAcentral.